AAUCUUGACGGUAAAUCUCAAAAGCCGCCUCGCAACUCUGUUC
RNAcentral lists this small RNA (43 nucleotides) under Sinorhizobium meliloti 2011. RNAcentral describes it as "putative ncRNA". Lineage: Bacteria; Pseudomonadati; Pseudomonadota; Alphaproteobacteria; Hyphomicrobiales; Rhizobiaceae. The record is from RNAcentral.